Molecule: small nuclear RNA, 311 nt
Filed under: Carlito syrichta (Philippine tarsier)
Lineage: Eukaryota; Metazoa; Chordata; Mammalia; Primates; Tarsiidae
Description: 7SK RNA (ENSTSYG00000021655.2)
Rfam family: 7SK RNA
About the family: 7SK was discovered as an abundant small nuclear RNA in the mid-70s but a possible function has only recently been suggested. Two independent studies have found that 7SK RNA binds the CDK9/cyclin T complex (known as elongation factor P-TEFb).
Source: Rfam by way of RNAcentral
GGAUGUGCGGCUGAUCUGGCUACAACAUCUGUCACCCCACUGAACACCAGGGCUGAUUCAACUGACUUGGCUGCCUAGAAGGGUGUCCCCUUACUCCCUUACUGCUCUAUAUGCAUCCCUUCCAAAGCCACAUGCUCAGCUGAAGACGAUGACCAUUAUCCCUACUAGAGGACGACCAUUCUUCAGUCAAGGAUAUAUGAAUAGCUGUCCUCUCCUGCUAGAACCUCCAAACAAGCUCUCAAAAUUGGUAUAAGUUAAAAAUGUGAUUUUGCAUUUACAGUUAACCGAGCCAAUUCAGUAUGCCUUUCCUU